AAGUCGUAACAAGGUUUCCGUAGGUGAACCUGCGGAAGGAUCAUUACCAAACAUGGAAUAUAUUAUUCUUAAACCCACACUGCGUACCUGUACUUGUUGCUUCCGUGGUAGGUGAACUAUAUGUUUGCUUCUGCCCAUGUGGUGGACCCACGGGAGAUAUCAAUAUACUCUGCCUUUUAUGAAUUCAGUCUGAUUAUGUUUAUUCUUUAAAUGUUAAAACUUUCAACAACGGAUCUCUUGGUUCUCGCAUCGAUGAAGAACGCAGCGAAAUGCGAUAAGUAGUGUGAAUUGCAGAAUUCAGUGAAUCAUCGAAUCUUUGAACGCACAUUGCGCCUCCUGGCAUUCCGGGAGGCAUGCCUGUUCGAGCGUCAUCAAAACCCUCAAGCCUGGAAUUAUUCAUGACUUGGUAUUGGAGUUGGAGUGAACAUGCAUCAUUCCUAUCCGAAAAUCAAUGGCAAAGUUGUCUGUAUCAACAAGCGUAAUAAUAAACACAAUGUUCCGUUGUUGUAUGAACACACUUUUGCCGUUAACCCCCCCACUUUUAAGUCUUUGACCUCGGAUCAGGUAGGGAUACCCGCUGAACUUAAGCAUAUCAAUAAGCGGAGGAAAAGAAACCAACAGGGAUUGCCUUAGUAACUGCGAGUGAAGCGGCAAAAGCUCAAAUUUGAAGUCUGGCAUCUUUGGUGUCCGAGUUGUAAUUUGGAGAGACAUCUUCGGCUUGAACGCCGUUCGAAGUUCCUUGGAACAGGACGUCACAGAGGGUGAGAAUCCCGUAUGUGGAUGGCUGUUUCAUUCCAUGUGAAGUGUCUUCGACGAGUCGAGUUGUUUGGGAAUGCAGCUCAAAAUGGGUGGUAAAUGUCAUCUAAAGCUAAAUAAUGGCGAGAGACCGAUAGCGCACAAGUAGAGUGAUCGAAAGAUGAAAAGCACUUUGAAAAGAGAGUUAAAAAGUACGUGAAAUUGUUGAAAGGGAAGCGCUUAAGACCAGACUCAAUCCGUGGUGAUCAAUGGUGCUUCUGUACCAUGUACUUGCCACUCUUUGGGACAGCAUCGGUUUGGAUGGUCGGAUAAAGACUUGAGGAAUGUAGCUCUCUUCGGGGAGUGUUAUAGUCUCAGGUGUAAUGCGAUCAAUCCAGACCGAGGACCGCGCUUCGGCUAGGAUGCUGUCAUAAUGGUCUUUAGCGACC
This 1184-nucleotide ribosomal RNA is filed under the name uncultured fungus. RNAcentral describes it as "eukaryotic LSU rRNA". The stretch from base 551 to 1184 matches the Rfam family "Eukaryotic large subunit ribosomal RNA", at positions 1 to 649 of the family's 3401-position model. Lineage: Eukaryota; Fungi. The record is from RNAcentral.